UUAUCAAAUUUCUCUUGUAGAUCUUACAAUGUCAUGUCUUUCUCCCAGCACAACAGAUCAACAAGAAGAUUCUUGGAGUGAAGACAAGGAACAUGGUAGUAUUGCUUCUGCUGAGGAUAAUAACAUUGAAGGAAUUGUUUCUGAUAUAAUCUCAUCGAAUUUCCCACAGAUGUCAGUUGAGCGCGUAACAUAGCACAUGUUUUAAGGCAAGAUCGUCCUUCAAAUCGAGGUUUCCAUGCCCCCUGAAAUCCAAAUUUGGUAAAAUUUUAAUUUAUUAACUUUGAUGAGUUUGACAUGUAAUUUGAAUGAGUAUCUUGUAGUAACUUAUGUUGAGUUACUCAUAGAGAUGCAAUGGAAAUAGCGAAACAAGCAGAAAGAGAGGUUUUGAAAGCUGUCUCAAGUGUUAUUCAUGUUGGCAUUAAGCUACAUUUGGGGCAACCAUUUUCACAUAUUAGCCAUGGUUAGAAGUUAGACACAUUCAAGAAAAUUGGAGAGAAAAAUUCUUGCAUUUUGGUAUGCAUAAGGUUAAGCAGAUUAACAUUAAAAAAAUUGUUUUUUUUUUUAAGUAUUAUUCUAUAGCCAAUAUUUUGGAAGCGGGUUCAAUAGCUGCGAAAACUUCAAUAAUUUAUUUAUGAUGAGAGGUUAUGUUACCAUGACAAGAACAGAACACACUGCAAAGUAUAGAGUUUCCUUGCAACCAUGUAACACUACUGAAUGAAUGUGGUUAAACAAUUAACAGAUUUCUCUUUGAGAACCUUGUAGCUUUGGUUGACUGAGAAUUAGUUCAAUCGUGUUUAUUACUA
Non-coding RNA from Arachis ipaensis, 803 nucleotides. The record is from RefSeq and is a predicted model, not a curated record. NCBI's taxonomy places the organism in Eukaryota, Viridiplantae, Streptophyta, Magnoliopsida, Fabales, Fabaceae.